This 557-nucleotide ribosomal RNA is filed under the name uncultured bacterium. RNAcentral describes it as "bacterial SSU rRNA". It matches the Rfam family "Bacterial small subunit ribosomal RNA", at positions 102 to 694 of the family's 1533-position model. The record is from RNAcentral.
ACGGGUGAGUAACGCGUGGGAAUCUACCGAGCCCUGCGGAAUAGCUCCGGGAAACUGGAAUUAAUACCGCAUACGCCCUACGGGGGAAAGAUUUAUCGGGGUUUGAUGAGCCCGCGUUGGAUUAGCUAGUUGGUGGGGUAAAGGCCUACCAAGGCGACGAUCCAUAGCUGGUCUGAGAGGAUGAUCAGCCACAUUGGGACUGAGACACGGCCCAAACUCCUACGGGAGGCAGCAGUGGGGAAUAUUGGACAAUGGGCGCAAGCCUGAUCCAGCCAUGCCGCGUGAGCGAUGAAGGCCCUAGGGUUGUAAAGCUCUUUCAACGGUGAAGAUAAUGACGGUAACCGUAGAAGAAGCCCCGGCUAACUUCGUGCCAGCAGCCGCGGUAAUACGAAGGGGGCUAGCGUUGUUCGGAAUUACUGGGCGUAAAGCGCACGUAGGCGGAUAUUUAAGUCAGGGGUGAAAUCCCGGGGCUCAACCUCGGAACUGCCUUUGAUACUGGGUAUCUUGAGUAUGGAAGAGGUAAGUGGAAUUGCGAGUGUAGAGGUGAAAUUCGUAGA